RNAcentral lists this ribosomal RNA (253 nucleotides) under uncultured bacterium. Its description in RNAcentral is "partial 16S ribosomal RNA". It matches the Rfam family "Bacterial small subunit ribosomal RNA", at positions 524 to 776 of the family's 1533-position model. The record is from RNAcentral.
GACGUAGGAUGCAAGCGUUGUCCGGAUUUAUUGGGCGUAAAGAGUUCGUAGGUGGUUUGUUAAGUCUGAUGUUAAAGACUGGGGCUCAACCUCGGAAAUGCAUUGGAUACUGGCAGACUUGAGUGUGGUAGAGGCAAUCGGAAUUCCAGGUGUAGCGGUGAAAUACGCAGAUAUCAGGAGGAACACCGGUGGCGAAGGCGGAUCUCUGGGCCAUUACUGACGCUGAGGCGCGAAAGCGUGGGGAGCGAUCCGG